GAAAUAAUAUGUAAGACACUCAAAAUUUUUUUUUAUUAGGCUAAAUUGCCCAAAUUUCAUUGUAUAUGUACAUUUCAUACCAACAGCGGAACAAGACAUGGCCCUCUCUAGUCUCUACAAAACCGGGACCGAACUGUACUCACUGUAAAAAUCACCCUCGUCAGAAGCCGCCAGUAACCGUUGACUAAACUCUUCUUGCAUCUCAUCCGGCACGAACGUAGUUCUACAAAGCGGACACGUGUUCCUAUCAUGAUCCAUCCAACGGUCCAAACAAGCCCGGUGGAAAAUGUGCUUACAAUUCUUCAGCCAUCUGAUCUCGGCAUCUCCCUCAAACUCAUACAAACAAACGGCACAACUCUCCGGCAGCUCAACUUCGCUGUCUCCGGGGACCAAAUCGUCGAACUUUAUUACGGGUAGAAUUUCCCGGAUCAGGUCGGCGGAAACUAGUGUGUGGCCCUGGAUUGGGGUCGGAUUGUCCGGCCAAACGUUAUCAGUUUCAAGGAAAUCUGAGAGACCCAGAUAGUUAAAAAGGCAAAGAAUGAGGCUUCUGAUAAAACCGAGAAAGGAUAGUGUGUGCACGAACAGCUUUGGCAAGAGAACUUCCGUGUACCCAACAGGAAAUCCCAUUUAGCU
This 633-nucleotide unclassified non-coding RNA is filed under the name Hevea brasiliensis (rubber tree). Lineage: Eukaryota; Viridiplantae; Streptophyta; Magnoliopsida; Malpighiales; Euphorbiaceae. The record is from RNAcentral.